This is a long non-coding RNA of Neopelma chrysocephalum (saffron-crested tyrant-manakin), 488 nucleotides long. RefSeq lists it as uncharacterized. The record is from RefSeq and is a predicted model, not a curated record. Lineage: Eukaryota; Metazoa; Chordata; Aves; Passeriformes; Pipridae. The transcript has 3 exons.
CUUGAUUCCAGCAUUUGAAGCCAUAUCAGUCAUCCUUCGCCCACUUGAAAUUCAACUGGAAUUACACCAGUGUGUCCAGGGUUCCAGAGUGGAACCUGAAGGUGAGGUUUGAACUCCCCAAGGAUUACUAGAAUCUGUGCAUCCAUGAAAAGACCAUGUGUCCAUGAAAAAUGGUUGAUAAAUCUGGUGAUCAUGACAGGACACUAUUAACAAUUAAGGCUGGUUUCAGUGUUUGUGUUUGCAGCAGGACUAAGAAAAGACACCAAGGACAGGAGAUAAUGGAUGGUGCUCGAUGGGAUGGUUUAGUUGAGUCAAAUCCAGUGCUGAUCUGUGGCUUUCCCUGCUGGAAUCAGGCAGGUCAUCAUGGAGUGACCCAAGGCUGCAUUUUUCCUUUGCCUUAAGAGGAAAGCAAUGGAUCAGGGAGCCUUAGGGAAUGUGGCAGAGAGCACUGCUGGAGGCAGGAAUGACACAGGGAGCACCAGGAGGUG